Molecule: ribosomal RNA, 1131 nt
Filed under: Triticum aestivum (bread wheat)
Lineage: Eukaryota; Viridiplantae; Streptophyta; Magnoliopsida; Poales; Poaceae
Description: partial small subunit ribosomal RNA
Source: RNAcentral
AUGGCGGCUCUUGCCCAAGCUCCUAGCCCAGCAGAAUCCAUCGAUCCACCGACCAGAGACCAUCGCCAAAGUGUGACAGCCGCUGACGGGACUGGAAGAGGAAUGGUGUAUAACUUGGCUUAUUUGGAGCUCCCUAAAUGCGCGUCUUGGAGCCUUCCUGGUGGGUUGUGUGUGCUGCAUGAGCUGGAAGAGUUGGGCUCUUUCUCGUCUGACAAGACUUCCGAGAUUUCUAAGCCUGGCCGUAGUGAUGAAGAGUUUAUUAUGGUGGGCUCAACGUUUCGCAUGGAUGCACACAAUUUGGUCAAAACGGGUUGUGGCUCAGCUAAAUCUGACCUCAGUGUUGGGUUGAUUCUCUACACCUUGGUCACACGCGAUCACAAAAUUAUAAAUAAUGCACCCCUUGGUAAGCCUCACAGUUCUGAAUGCUCAAGGAGACUUGAAGUAUACACUAAUGAUGUAAGCGUAACCGAUAGACAAAAAGGAGAAAAACAUGACGGGAAUACAUUGAAGAGUACUGACGCUCGACUUGCCUUGAAGCGGAAGUCAUGCAAGAAUGACCUUGUGUCCAAAGGAAAUCAUGCACAUCCUGAUAAUGGUUUUGUUACUGAUUCAUCGGGUGAAACUAGUCUCAGCUUGAAUGCUGCAACUGAAACUCCAAUGCAUUAUCGGCCAGAGGGAGGACUCGUCCACAGCGGAGCACCUAGCCACCCUGCAGCUGCACAGGAAUCAGGCACAACACCACUGACCAAGACGCCCGGGGCCGCCUGGCUGGUUGCAUCUUCUGCCGCGAAUCACAUGACCGGCGACCUGAGCCAGCUGACGGAUUGCAUGCCCGCACCGGCCGAUCUCGUCGUCCAGGUUCCGAGCAUGGGACCAAGGCAAGUCCAAGACAUUGGGUCACUGAACACUCGGACAAUGUGUCUCCAGAAUGUGUACUACGUCCCUGGGCUCGACAAGAACCUGGUCUCCAGCAGCCAGCUCGCCAAACUUGGCUACACCAUCACCCUCGGUCCUUCGGAGUGCCGCGUCACCAAGAAUGAUCAGGGCCACACCCUUGUGGGGAAAGCUCAUUUCACCGAUGAUUACCUGUUCGAGCUGGACUUCCUCAGGGUUCCUCCCUCCACCAACUGA